Molecule: ribosomal RNA, 216 nt
Filed under: Glomeromycotina sp.
Lineage: Eukaryota; Fungi; Glomeromycota
Description: partial small subunit ribosomal RNA
Rfam family: Eukaryotic small subunit ribosomal RNA (bases 46-216)
Source: RNAcentral
GGGUCAGUAGGUUGGUCGUGCCACCGGUACGUACUGGUCUCACCGAUUCCUCCUUCCUGAAGAACCGUAAUGCCAUUAAUUUGGUGUUGCGGGGAAACAGGACUGUUACUUUGAAAAAAUUAGAGUGUUUAAAGCAGGCUAACGCUUGAAUACAUUAGCAUGGAAUAAUGAAAUAGGACGAUCGAUCCUAUUUUGUUGGUUUCUAGGAUUGACGUA